GAGUGAAUAGCUUAGUAGGUUAGAGCAUAGUGCUGAUAACGCCAAGGCUGCAGGUUUGAGCCCCGUAUGGGUCA
This is a non-coding RNA of Podarcis lilfordi (Lilford's wall lizard), 74 nucleotides long. The record is from the annotation of a GenBank genome assembly. NCBI's taxonomy places the organism in Eukaryota, Metazoa, Chordata, Lepidosauria, Squamata, Lacertidae.